UAAAGUGCGAUAUGUAGUGCGAUUUGCAUGAAUCUGUGAGUCAUCUAAUCUUUGAACGCAACUUGCGCCCAGCAAUGGGCAUGUCUGUUCGAGUACCGCAUACCAAUAUGCAGCAAUGCGAUCUGGCCCCGACGUCAAGUCGAGGCUGAAAUGGAGCAAGUGAAAGAGGUGUGGUGUACCCGAGUGUGCUAGAGACGUGGGGACGCGAGUCUUGGUCUUGUCACUCUGGUGUAUUAUCCCUCCACUAAUUCAACCCAUUGGUCUCGAAUCAGGCAAGAUUACCCGCUGAACUUAA
This 295-nucleotide unclassified non-coding RNA is filed under the name uncultured fungus. Its description in RNAcentral is "sequence contains ITS1". The stretch from base 1 to 98 matches the Rfam family "5.8S ribosomal RNA", at positions 49 to 154 of the family's 154-position model. Lineage: Eukaryota; Fungi. The record is from RNAcentral.